RNAcentral lists this ribosomal RNA (253 nucleotides) under uncultured bacterium. Its description in RNAcentral is "partial 16S ribosomal RNA". It matches the Rfam family "Bacterial small subunit ribosomal RNA", at positions 524 to 776 of the family's 1533-position model. The record is from RNAcentral.
AACGUAGGAGGCAAGCGUUAUCCGGAGUUACUGGGCGUAAAGCGUGCGUAGGUGGUUUGCCAAGUUCGGUGUGAAAGCGCCCGGCUUAACCGGGCGAGGACAUUGAAGACUGGUGAACUCGAGGGUGGUAGAGGGGCGUAGAAUUCCGGGUGUAGCGGUGAAAUGUGUAGAGAUCCGGAGGAAUACCAGUGGUGCAGACGGCGCCCUGGGCCAACCCUGACACUGAGGCACGAAAGCGUGGGGAGCGAACGGG